This is a long non-coding RNA of Pelmatolapia mariae (spotted tilapia), 2586 nucleotides long. RefSeq lists it as uncharacterized. Lineage: Eukaryota; Metazoa; Chordata; Actinopteri; Cichliformes; Cichlidae. The record is from RefSeq and is a predicted model, not a curated record. The transcript has 2 exons.
AUCCUCCGACAGCACUUACAGAAUCACACCUCCAUGUCCCCGCAACAUGUCGUCUACACGCUGACACCCACAGACUUCUGCUGGCGUAACGUGGUGAAAACAGACAGGAGGAAAAGUGCAGAAAAAAAAGUGAAGAUAAAGGACAAAAUUCCAUCAGGACAUAUCACAGGAUGAAGUCCAGAUGGCUGCUCUCCGCUGUGGACAGACUUCCUACCAUCAGUGAAAUGCAGGAGAGCGACACAGAAGACGGAGACCCGGACUGCUCCUCUCACACCAUGGAGGAGUACGUGGACUCCAUCAAAGAGCUGUCCCAGCCGGCCCCCUACCCGCUCCACGGGCCCCUCAGAGGUCACCGCCUCUGGAUGGUGCGCUCAUGCCCUGCGGCUCCACCUGUGGCACCGGCUCUGUUUUUAAAUUCCCUGAGAAGCAGCCCACCUUGGAGUCCAGUUGACCUAUCAGAUGUAUCACUGACCUUAACAGACCAAUCAAAGUGCGAGACAUCAACACAUUUCAAACAAAACCUGCUGGACGUGCUGGUGGGACAGUCCCUGUUUGCAGGGCUGGUGUGAGGUGAAGGUAGCGGCCGGACUGCUGACCUCCGCCCACGGCUCCCGUCGGCUCCACGAUGCAUGAUUCAUUUAUGUGUAAGAAGUAAUUGAGUCAGGCACGCUCCAGAAGCUAUAUGCAUUCCCUUUGAAGUUCUAAAUGAAUGCAACACAUGAAACAAAAGAUGAAAAGCGAAAAAUCAAGGGCAGAACAAACAAACGAGCAGUGCCUGCCUGGAUGCCCGAGGUAUAAGUGCGAUAAGUGGCUGUGCUGGGCCCACUCGUCCACCAGGGGGCCCUCCAACAGACCCAAACUGUGAACUCUCCUGAUUUGAAUAUUUAAAGACAUACUCUCUGAUUUUUGCCACCAGAAUCUUCUGAGGACCCCAAACUAAGGAUGAUUCAAGAAAGCAAUACAAACUAGGUAGAUUCAUUGGCUCCCACACCCCAGGAGCUCGUUGAGAUGAACUACAAAUAUUAAAUCUCCUCAGACUGUAGCUCUAAAUUAAAUAUCCAAGAAUUUGCCUUCAGACCCUUUAAAGGGCCCAGAAUUAGGUAAGCUUUAACUGCCUAGAAAAUGAAUACAAAAGGCUGCUUCAGCCAACGGGGGGCCUUUGAACAGCUUUGGGGUUUUAGGCUCUGGUUUAAAUAUUUAAGUACAUGCUCCCUGAUUUUUGCUUUCAGGAUUCUACUGGAGCCCUGAAGUAAGUUUGAUUUGAGAUAAAACCCACAAUUUAGCUGAUACAGAGCCCCAUCAGCCACCAGGGACCCCACCCAAAUUAGCUGCAAGUGUGAAAUCUCUUUAUAUUUUAGUUCCAGUUUACCUUUCAGAUGUUUUGAACUGCCUACAAACUCAAAGUAAGCUGCUGGUUCAACCAACAGGGGGCCUUUGAACAACUGUUGGGGUUUAAGUUGUGACUUAAAAAUUUAAAGAUAGACUCCCUCAUAGGCUCUAGUCUAUCCCAGCUGGCACCAUAAAUAUGAACUCUGUGUAGAGUCUGUUGGACAUUUGAAGAAAUUUGGAUGUUCGGUCUUAAUCUAAAGAUCUUAAUAUCUUUUGGUUCUAAGUUCUAUGCUUCUUGAUAUCCACCAGAUCUAGGGUUAGGGUUUUAGUCAACUCUUUUUAGACACACAUAGCUUUUUUGGAAAACCAAAAACCUUUCAUCUUGUUGUUCCUUUUUUAAAAAUUGGUCUUAGGCUGGUGACCUGGGAGGUGUUAGGAUGAAAUCAUCAUGUUUUUUUUUAGGGAUUUUCAUUCAAAUAUGUAAACUUCUACUGCAAGACAUUUGAUUUCAAAUUCUCCUUCGAUACAGACGCAGAGAUGUGUUAGUAAAUGAUGAGAUGUGUUUCUCUUUUUCAUCACCACCAGGUAAAUAAGGAAUAUGGAGGUCUCUUCCUGUUGAAAAGGAGAUCUUCCUUACCACUGUCUCCAAAUGCUUCUCGUAGGUUAUUGUCUCUCAAACAAUCUAAUCUAUAAAGCAUCUUGAGGUUACUCUCAUCAGUCGUGACUCGUGAGCUUUAUAAAUAAAAUGAACUGAACCCCCCUUUGACCUUAAAAUGUACUGCUAAGCCUAAAGCUUCGUAUUCUUUUUAACCUCACAGAUUUGUAAUAUUGGAUAAUUUCUCUCCACAAAUAAAUCAGUUUCUUAACCACUUAUUCAGUUCAUAGUCUGCAGCCAUUCCCAGCUGCCCGAGGGUGGACAUCAUAAACCUCACCUGUCUAUCACAAGGCUAAGUAAUUGAAGUCAAUAAAUCUGCAUUUUUUUCCAUUGCAUUUUCCAGGAAUUCCAGCUCCCUAUGGCUUCCUGGCCACCUGGGCUCUCUGAAAGUAAUUCUCCUUUAUUUCUGAGUUUUAAAUAUUCACUUUUCUAAUUGUAUUUUAUUUGUUUUAAUUAAGUUUAAAACUGAAACACGUUUGUGCUAAGGGUAAAGAAGCACUCAGUCUGUGCAGGUUUAUGCAGUGCAGCCUGCAAAGUUUUGCUGACAUUGGUUUGCUUUUUUUCCCAUUUGAAAUAAAACCAGUUGUAAGAAAAACAUAAAA